Molecule: long non-coding RNA, 8466 nt
Organism: Cercocebus atys (sooty mangabey)
Lineage: Eukaryota; Metazoa; Chordata; Mammalia; Primates; Cercopithecidae
Exons: 2
Source: RefSeq, a predicted model, not a curated record
CCCCCCGAGGCAAAAACGACCCUAAGAUGUAUUCUGGAGAAUUAGGACCAAUUUGACCCUCAGAUGCUAAGAAAGAAAUGACUUAUAUUCUUCUGCAGUACUGCCUGGCAAUGAUAUCCUCUUCAAGGGGGAGAAACCUGGCGUCCUGAGGGAAGUAUAAAUUUUAACACUGUCUUAAAACUAGACAUCUUUUGUAGAAAAGAAGGCAAAUGGAGUGAAGUGCCGUAUGUACAAACUUUCUUUUCAUUAAGAGACAACUCGCGAUUAUGUAAAAAGUGUGAUUUAUGCCCUACAGGAAGCCCUCAGAGUCUACCUCCCUACCCCAGCGUCCCCCAACUCCUUCCCCAACUAAUAAGGACCCCCCCUUCAACCCAUUCGGUCCAAAAGGAGAUAGAUAAAGGGGUAAACAAUGAACCAAAGAGGGUGAAUAUUCCCUGAUUAUGCCCUCUCCAAGCAGUGGGAGGAGGAGAAUUCGACCCAGCCAGAGUGCAUGUACCGUUUUCUCUCUCAGACUUCAAGCAAAUUAAAAUAGACCUAGGUAAAUUCUCAGAUAACCCUGAUGGCUAUAUUGAUGUUUUACAAGGGUUAGGACACUCCUUUGAUCUGACACGGAGAGAUAUAAUGUUACUGCUAAAUCAAACACUAACCCCAAAUGAGAGAAAUGCUGCCAUAACUGCAGCCUGAAAGUUUGGCGAAUCUCUGGUAUUACAGUCAGGUCAACGAUAGGAUGACAACAGAGGAAAGAACGAUUCCCCACAGGCCAGCAGGCAGUUCCCAGUGUAGACCCUCAUUGGGACACAGAAUCAGAACAUGAAGAUUGGUGCCACAGACAUUUGCUAACUUGCGUGCUAAAAGGACUAAGGAAAACUAGGAAGCAGCCUAUGAAUUAUUCAGUGAUGUCCACUGUAACACAGGUGAAGGAAGAAAAUCCCACUGCCUUUCGGGAGAGACUAAGGGAGGCAUUGAGGAAGCACACCUCCCUGUCACCUGACUCUGUUGAAGGCUAACUAAUCUUAAAGGAUAAGUUUAUCACUUAGCUGCAGACAUUAGGAAAAAACUUCAAAAAUCUGCCUUAGGCCCAGAGCAAAACUUAGAAACCCUACUGAACUUGGCAACAUUUUUUUAUAAUAAAGAUCAGGAGGAGCAGGCGGAAUGCGACAAAUGGGAUAAAAAAAGGCCACCGCUUUAGUCAUGUCAUGGCCCUCAGGCAAGCGGACUUUGGAGACUCUGGAAAAGGGAUAAGCUGGACAAAUCAAAUGCCUAAUAGGACUUGCUUCCAGUGCGUUACAAGGACACUUUAAAAAAGAUUGUCCAAGUAGAAGUAAGCUGCCCCCUCGUCCACACCCCUUAUGUCAAGGGAAUCACUGGAAGGCGCACUGCCCCAGGGGAUGAAGGUCCUCUGAGUCAGAAGCCAGCAGUAGGACUGAGGGUGCCCAGGGCAAGCGCCAGCCCAUGCCAUCACCCUCACAGAGCCCCGGGUAUGCUUGACCAUUGAGGGCCAGAAGGUUAACUGUCUCCUGGACACUGGCGCAGCCUUUUCAGCCUUACUUUCCUGUCCCGGACAACUGUCCUCCAGAUCUGUCACUAUCCGAGGGGUCCUAGGACAGCCAGUCACUAGAUACUUCUCCCAGCCACUAUGUUGUGACUGAGGAAGUUUACUGCUUUCGCAUGCUUUUCUAAUUAUGCCUGAAAGCCCCACUCCCUUGUUAGGAAGAGACAUUCUAGCAAAAGCAGGGGCCAUUAUACACCUGAACAUAGGAGAAGGAACACCCGUUUGUUGUCCCCUGCUUGAGGAAGGAAUUAAUCCUGAAGUCUGGGCAACAGAAGGACAAUAUGGAUGAGUAAAAAAUGCCCAUCCUGUUCAAGUUAAACUAAAGGAUUCCACCUCCUUUCCCUACCAAAGGCAGUACCCCCUCAGACCUGAGGCCCAACAAGGCCUCCAAAGGAUUGUUAAGGACCUAAAAGCCCAAGGCCUAGUAAAACCAUGCAAUAGCCCCUGCAAUACUCCAAUUUUAGGAGUACAGAAAUCCAGUGGACAGUGGAGGUUAGUGCAAGAUCUCAGGAUUAUCAAUGAGGUUGUUGUUACUCUAUACCCAGCUGUACCUAGCCCUUAUACUCUGCUUUCGCAAAUACCACAGGAAGUAGAGUGGUUUACAGUCCUGGACCUUAAGGAUGCCUUUUCUGCAUCCCUGUACAUCCUGACUCUCCCUUUGAAGAUCCUUCAAACCCAGCGUCUCAACUCACCUGGACUGUUUUAUCCCAAGGGUUCGGGGAUAGCCCCCAUCUAUUUGGCCAGGCUUUAGCCCAAGACUUGAGCCAAUUCUCAUACCUGGACACUCUUGUCCUUCAGUACAUGGAUGAUUUACUUUUAGCCACCCGUUCAGAAACCUUGUGCCAUCAAGCCACCCAAGCGCUCUUAAAUUUCCUUGCUACCUGUGGCUACAAGGUUUCCAAACCAAAGGCUCCGGUCUCCUCAGAGCAGGUUAAAUACUUAGGUCUAAAAUUAUACAAAGGCACCAGGGCCCUCAGUGAGGAACGUGUCCAGCUUAUACUGCCUUAUCCUCAUCCCAAAACCCUAAAGCAACUAAGAGGGUUCCUUGGCAUAAUAGGUUUGUGAACAAUGGAACAACUUCAGCACAGAAAUAAACACCACUUCCGUUUUAGUAGGACCUCUUGUUUCCAAUCUGGAAAUAACCCAUACUUCAAACCUCACCUGUGUAAAAUUUAUCAAUACUAUAGACACAACCAACUACCAAUGCAUCAGGUGGGUAACUCCUCCCACUCGAACAGUCUACCUACCCUCAGGAAUAUUUUUUGUCUGUGGCACCUCAGCCUAUCAUUGUUUGAAUGGCUCUUUAGAAUCUAUGUGCUUCCUCUCAUUCUUAGUGCCCCCUAUGACCAUCUACACUGAACAAGAUUUACACAAUUAUGUCAUACCUAAGCCCCACAAAAAAGAGUACCCAUUCUUUUGUUAUCAGAGCAGGAGUGCUAGGUGGACAAGGUACUGGCGUUGGUGGUAUCACAACCUCUACUCAGUUCGACUACAAACUAUCUCAAGAACUAAAUGGUGACAUGAAAUGGGUCACCAACUCCCUGGUCACCUUGCAAGAUCAACUUAACUCCCUAGCAGCAGUAGUCCUUCAAAAUCGAAGAGCUUUAGACUUGCUAACCGCCAAAAGAGGGGGAACCUGUUUAUUUUUAGGGGAAAAUGCUGUUAUUAUGUUAAUCAAUCAGGCAUCAUCGCUGAGAAAGCUAAAGAAAUUUGAGAUCGAAUAUAACGUAGAGCAGAGGAGCUUCAAAACACUGGACCCUGCAGCCUCCUCAGCCAAUGGAUGCCCUGGAUUCUCCCCUUCUUAGGACCUCUGGAGAUGAUCACCAGAAACAAGAAGAAAAGCUCCUUCCUUCUGUGAUCCUCCAGCACUGUCUAUUGACAAAGCUUAGCAACAUGUUCACUGUAAAGAAGAAAUUCUUAAGGGGUUCAGCUCCAUUACCCUAAAAUGGUAAUAAAUGGAUUGGGGGUUGAGACAAUGUGUUGAUAACUGGGAAUAGUACAUUCCUUUAGCUACUCGUUUUCCAUAUUUACCCUUCACUCAUGUGAGUUCUGUACAAUGAAGCAACUCUGUGUUUCCACCUAACAAGAUAUUGCUAUUCUCACAAAUGAAGAAAUUCUCACCCUUCACAAAAUAAAAGAGCACAGUCCUAACCAUCACUGUAUCCAUUGCCAGCUAUAGUCAUUACUCCUCAAAUUCUAUGAUAGUUUCACUGAUUAUUUUCUUGCCUAAAGACUAUUAUGUAUGGUUAAGCAUCACUAGUUUGUGUAAAAAUAAAAAUGGAAAAAAGAGAAAUAGCCUACAUAAACAUAUAAUAGCCAAAGAGACUACAAAGACUACAAAUAACACAAAGCCACUACAGCCCAAAUUUCAGUAGUGGAGCACAAGGCCAUAGUUGAUACCUCUGGCUUAUAUUUCUUUUGACCUUGGCCAGAAGCUCGGCGGGUCAAUUCUUUAUCCAGUAGAGUGACCUAAAACUUCCUUCAGAAGAGUGAAGUCCUUAAUCGUCUGCCUUUUUUUUUUUUUUUUUUGGUAUAAGAACUGCUAAUGGGCACCCCAGAUAAUCCCCUGGAUUCCACAUAAUCCUCCUUCUCCUCAGUGUGUAGCAGCAACUCAAUUUCCCUUUGAAAAUUGAGAUCAAUCACUCCAACCAGUGAAGCAACUUCUUAUUUUUGGUCUGUUGUUUUAGUGACACAAACAGCCUCAAAUGACCAGGUGGCAAUGUUCUCUUCAAAUUCAGUGAAACUGUUGUGUCUCCUGAUGAAAGCAUUCUCCCUCUUGGCUGCAAAGACCUCCAAAUUAGCAAAGCUCAAAGUUUCCAUUGGAUUUGGCAGUUCCAUCACUGAUAACAGUAAAGAGAAUCAUUUCAGGGGAGUAGUGGGAACAGAAACCAGAUUACAAGAGGGUUUACGAUGAAGAGAAGGCAAGGCAGGGAAGCCAGUAAGUGAAUGCAGCCCACUCUUUCAAAAGAAAAGCUAUGAAAUUAAGCAGAGGAGAGCUCUGUAAAGCACUUAGAAGAGGACACAGUAUUUUGAGAGGAAUUUUUAAGAUGAGGAAAACUUACACAUCUUAUAAAAUUCAAGUGGAAAUUCUUCUAUGUAAAAAGAAAUUGAAGAAAGAGAUGAGUAAACAAGAUCCCAAAAGGGAUGGGAUCAAUAUACUCAAAGCAUUGGGAUCUCUGCCUCAGUCUCUGAGCCCAAAGAAGUGGGUAGGGCUGUGAUGGGAGAAAAUAAAGGCAAAUCUGUAGGAGGUGGAACAGGAAGUUGAGCUGGUUACCUUCCCCCAGUUUAAUUUUCAGAUUACAAAGCAAAGCCUUUGAUGAAAGAACUGAGUUGGUAGAGCAGGAAGAUUGAAGAAAAUGCACAAUUUUGAAAAGAACAAUAGUGGAAAAUAGAGAGGGACAAGGGAUAGAGAAAUCUAAUCUUGUUGUCUAUAAAUCAUGACUCAAAUUUUACUUCCUCCUUGAUGUGUGCUCUGCCUCUUCAACUGAUAGUAAAUAAAAAAUUAGUAACAUAUCUAUAUAGCAAUUAAAAACAGAGGUUUCUCUUUAAGCUCCUAUCCUAUAACUCUUAUAUAGCACUCGUUAUUUUCUGCUAUGUAGUUUUUUUCCUUUCUAGAAUCCACUGUAACUCUUUAAUGUAUUAGAUUUUUGUAUCCCUCAUAAGCAUCUACUAGAGUGUGUAGCUCAUUAACACAGUGUUUCCAUAACUAAUUGUUGUACAACAAACCAUGCUCUACUAAUGGAGUAAAGUAACAACCUUUUGUAAUUAUUCUCUCUCAUGGUUCUGGGGAUAACUAAGUGGUUCUCACUUGGGGGUCUCUCCUGAGGUUGCAGUCAGGAAACAUCUGGAGGCUCCUGCCUGCACAUCUCUGGAGUGUGAUGUUGGCUCCUGGUGGGACCUCAGCCAGGGGGCUGCCCUCCGCAAUACACAUAUGUGACUUCUCCAUGCGGCUUGGGCUUCCUCAGGGGACAGUGGCUGGGUUCCGAGAGCAAGUGUCCUAGAAAAGAGCUGGGCAGGUGCUAUAAUCCUUUUUAUGAUCUCUGAAGUCAUGCAGUAGUAUUCUGUAACAUUAUAUUUAUUAGAAUUAAGUCACUAAGGCCAGCCCAUAUUCAAGAGGUGGGGAGUUUAGACUCCAUGUCUUGAUGAGAGGAGUGUCAAGGGAUUUGAAGAUACUACACAUAUAAAUGCUAAUUAGUUGCUUGUUUUAAGCAUUUAUUGUAUUUUGAAAAAGCCCCAGAAAGAAAGAGAAUGAGAGUGGUGCACAGUCUUACAAGGUCUGAAUAGAAGUCAGGAAUAAUGCUAAAGAGUCAAUUAACCCAUAAAAGAUGCUAACCAUGGCUGCUUAUUUCACUAGUGUUUGUAAUCUUCUUUUACAAUCUCUUUUUAGGAGGUAAAAUUGAGCUGUUUGGUCUAGAAAGUUGUAGUAGGUCAGUGCUUCUGCUACUUUAUGGGCACACAGACUCCUGGGGAUCUUGUUAAAAUGCAAGAUUUUAACAAUGUGAUGCCAGGGGCAUCACAUUCUGCAUUUCUAGGAAGCUACAAGGGAGAUACUGCAGCUCCAUGGGCCACCCAUUGAACAGCAAGUUAGCAGAAAGUAAUACGGGUAACUGCCUGGCUCCUGUGAUCCCACCCUUCUCUGGGAGGAGCGCUAAUGGGGUAUGCCACCAGAGGUCCUUAUGGGCUUACAAGACCUUAGCCCUCUGGCCUGUGAACUCGUGAUGCCAAUAAGGUUAAUCUGUUCUUCCACAAGACUUGUAGAACUGGAAUUAAAGGAAGAGAGUAAUUUACCUCUUCCUUUAGAAUUAAGUCACUAAGGCCAGCCCAUAUUCAAGAGGUGGGGAGUUUAGACUCCAUGUCUUGAUGAGAGGAGUGUCAAGGGAUUUGAAGAUACUACACAUAUAAAUGCUAAUUAGUUGCUUGUUUUAAGCAUUUAUUGUAUUUUGAAAAGCAGAGAGUAAUCUACCAUAUUCCGUGGUAGAAGCACGGAAUAUGAGGCUCUAUCCAUCAUGUCAGAAAGCCAGUUUCCAGGAGGAAUAAAGGGAACACACAGAGAGAAGAGAAUCCAGGUGACACUCCAGCGCCUGAUGAGGCUCAGACCUGACCCCACUCUGAAAGAUUAUACAAAAUAUCCUAAUAUUGUUCCGGCAAAUUCCCCUCUUGGCCUAAAUUUGUUCUACUUGGGUUUUUAUCAUUUGAAACUAAAAAAGCUCUAACAAAGGGUAGGGAAAGUAGGGGAUAUGUUCUCUUGGAAAUGUAAUGCUCACUGUUUUGCAGUACUAGAUGAUUAUCCAGACGUCUGCAAUCUGAGGGUGAGGAAAGACUGUCCCUUAAGUCAUGUUAAAGGUGUGUUCCCAGCAGAGUGGACUGAAUAUGAAAGAAGACGACAAUGGAACACUAAGGCCGAGGGAAGAUGAGAAAAGUCUCAACCUACCUAAAAUAGGAAAAACAUCUGGAAAAGGGAGGCAAAGAGAGUCUAUGGAUUAAAAUCGUUGGAUAGUAUCGAAAGAAACUGUUACCCAAAAGUGAUGCCUGCUGAAAACAGAUGGGAAAAGGACAGUCUAGGAAUAGCAAAGCUAAUAUUCUCUAAAGAGUGACCAGACCCUGGGCCUGAGUGGAAGUUAAAAGCAAGAUAGUCCUGCCCAGCAAAGAACAAAACAUUGACUUUUCGUAUAUGUUGGACAUUGUGUGAUUUGCUUUACAUUUAUGACCUUAUUAAAUGACCCCCUAAGAAAGUUUCGCUCAUGCCCGUCCCUGAAACUCUAGCACAGUCACAGCUGGCACUCCCACAGUCGAAAGAGAGGAAACCGAAUGUGGAUCAUAUCAUGUGGUUCCCACCUGGCAGACCCUAUGACUGGGUAUGCCUCAGCAGGCAAAUCUCAGAGUCCUCCGAAGUCUCAGAGACUGCAAGCUGUGCAGGUGACACAAGAAUGACACGGCCACCUUUCCAUGUUUGGAGUAAAUUUUUAAUAACCAGUUUCUUGGUUACAACUUCAUCUAUAUAAAUCCCCUUAUUCUAGGAUCUACACAGUUAAACCUAAUAUUUCACAGCACAUUUCUAAAACAGUACAUUUUUUACACUAAAAAAAUAAAAUAAAAUAAAAGCCUGGUUACCACCAAGGUGUAUUGUCCAUGAAUUGAAAGGCUUUCCUAUUUAAGUAGCAGGUACAUGUGUAAAUAGGGCAGGCAGCAACAGAACAGCAAUAUUGGAGAACGCUUUCUUUGUAGUAAAUGCCCUUGAGUAUGAGAUGUGACAAUGAAGCAAUAAGGCCAAUUCUAUAAAGCAAAAAUGGAUACUGAUCUCCUUAUUUUGUAGCCAUACCUUAUGGUAUGUUUAUAACGUAUUUCUUUCACAUGUUAAAACAGUAUCUACUAAAGAUGGGCUUAAUUUUGGUAAAGUGAACUGAAAAAAGUUAUAUGUUAAUGCAACAUUUGUUGUAAAGAUUCCAGAAACGCAGGAGUCAAAAAUUCAAAUUAUGAUUCCCACAGUAACUGUAACUCUGGUAUACAACAUACAUAAUGGAAGAAAUGUUAUCAACAUAUACCAUAGUAGAAAAUACUCAGUAAGCAGAAACAAGCUGAGUUAUGCUUGCUGUGGGAAUCAUCAUUCUCAACUAGCUGGGAAUAUAUAAAAAUCGAAACCAUAAAUGCAUGCAUUAUUUUUUGCAGUUAAUUCUAAUUUUUCUUGAUCCAAUUUAAUCAGCUUUGUAUCCAAACUACAUUUUCCCUUCACAAACUGCAAAUGAACGUCUUUCGUAAUUUUAAAAUCGACAUCAUUUGAUUUCUUUUUCUCACACAGGCUGCCUUUUGCAGGAUGGCAUCAUUACACCCUGUCCCUCCCUGAAAUGUCAGGACACAUCUGCUGGGAUUCAUUUAUCUACAUUCCUUUUCUCUCUGAAGGACACCAUGGGGAAGGA